UCUGGCACCUUCGGUGUCCGAGUUGUAAUUUGAAGAAGGUAACUUUGGAGUUGGCUCUUGUCUAUGUUCCUUGGAACAGGACGUCACAGAGGGUGAGAAUCCCGUGCGAUGAGAUGUCCAACUCUAUGUAAAGUGCUUUCGAAGAGUCGAGUUGUUUGGGAAUGCAGCUCUAAGUGGGUGGUAAAUUCCAUCUAAAGCUAAAUAUUGGCGAGAGACCGAUAGCGAACAAGUACAGUGAUGGAAAGAUGAAAAGAACUUUGAAAAGAGAGUGAAAAAGUACGUGAAAUUGUUGAAAGGGAAGGGUUUGAGAUCAGACUUGGUAUUUUGUAUGUCUUGCUUUCGGGUGGGGCCUCUGCAGUUUACUGGGCCAGCAUCGGUUUGGACGGUAGGAUAAUGACAUUGGAAUGUGGCACUACUUCGGUGGUGUGUUAUAGACUUUGUUGAUACUGCCUGUCUAGACCGAGGACUGCGUCUUUGACUAGGAUG
RNAcentral lists this ribosomal RNA (486 nucleotides) under Scheffersomyces shehatae. RNAcentral's name for it is "eukaryotic LSU rRNA". It matches the Rfam family "Eukaryotic large subunit ribosomal RNA", at positions 121 to 625 of the family's 3401-position model. The record is from RNAcentral. Lineage: Eukaryota; Fungi; Ascomycota; Pichiomycetes; Serinales; Debaryomycetaceae.